CAGGAUUCCGUCGCUUCGUCAUCGACAGUUGCUCACACCUUCAGUAGUCACCAUCAUUCUAUUCUUUCUCAGGUGAAUUUGUCGAUUGACCCCAUAAAUCUGUUGUCCACAAUGAUAAGCCAACACAAAUACCAAGAGGCUUUCACUACAGCCUUACAAAUGCGUGAUGUGUCAAUUGUGAAUUGGAUUUGCUCCCAGGUCUUGACUAUGGAUCCUCUCCCUUUGAGUCAAGAAGUAUUGCUUCAAUUGUUGUGGUUUUUACCAUAUUGUAUCAAUACCAACCCAGCCGUAAUAAUUGCUUGGAUGACACACGUUUUUAAUUCCAUAAUCCCAACUGAUCCGGCAAUUGAAAUGCAUGUGCGGCCCAUCUUCAAUCAAGUUUAUGCCGCACUCAACCAUAUAAGUGUCCUGCCCACAAUUACUGAU
This is a long non-coding RNA of Alnus glutinosa, 426 nucleotides long. RefSeq lists it as uncharacterized. The transcript has 3 exons. The record is from RefSeq and is a predicted model, not a curated record. NCBI's taxonomy places the organism in Eukaryota, Viridiplantae, Streptophyta, Magnoliopsida, Fagales, Betulaceae.